RNAcentral lists this unclassified non-coding RNA (365 nucleotides) under uncultured bacterium. Its description in RNAcentral is "contains 16S-23S intergenic spacer region". The record is from RNAcentral.
UCCCGGUUGUCCCGGGCAGUCUCGUAUGAAAAAUACAACAUACGACAAGGGUUGCGCUCGUUGCGGGACUUAACCCAACAUCUCACGACACGAGCUGACGACGGCCAUGCAACACCUGUCACCUGGUUCCCGAAGGCACUCCACUGUUUCCAGCGGAUUCCAGGGAUGUCAAGCCUUGGAUAAGGUUCUUCGCGUAGCUUCGAAUUAAACCACAUCAUCCACCGCUUGUGCGGGUCCCCGUCAAUUCCUUUGAGUUUUAAGCUUGCGCUCGUACUCCCCAGGCGGCAAACUUAACGCGUUAGCUUCUCAGCACAGAGGGUCGAUACUCCAUACUAAUAGUUUGCAUCGUUUACGGCGUGGACUAC